This 490-nucleotide ribosomal RNA is filed under the name uncultured bacterium. RNAcentral's name for it is "partial 16S ribosomal RNA". It matches the Rfam family "Bacterial small subunit ribosomal RNA", at positions 30 to 507 of the family's 1533-position model. The record is from RNAcentral.
AUUGAACGCUGGCGGCAGGCCUAACACAUGCAAGUCGAACGGUAACAGGAAGCAGCUUGCUGCUUCGCUGACGAGUGGCGGACGGGUGAGUAAUGUCUGGGAAACUGCCUGAUGGAGGGGGAUAACUACUGGAAACGGUAGCUAAUACCGCAUAACGUCGCAAGACCAAAGAGGGGGACCUUAGGGCCUCUUGCCAUCGGAUGUGCCCAGAUGGGAUUAGCUAGUAGGCGGGGUAACGGCUCACCUAGGCGACGAUCCCUAGCUGGUCUGAGAGGAUGACCAGCCACACUGGAACUGAGACACGGUCCAGACUCCUGCGGGAGGCAGCAGUGGGGAAUAUUGCACAAUGGGCGCAAGCCUGAUGCAGCCAUGCCGCGUGUAUGAAGAAGGCCUUCGGGUUGUAAAGUACUUUCAGCGGGGAGGAAGGGAGUAAAGUUAAUACCUUUGCUCAUUGACGUUACCCGCAGAAGAAGCACCGGCUAACUCCGUG